AAUGUAUUAGUAGCAAUCAUGUCAACAUUUGUUAAUGUAUGUAUACAGAGGAAAUAUUUUAAAGUUUAACAUCUAAGAAUAAAUUGGUGCUCUGUUAUGGAUCCCCAAAGAAAAUUAGGUGUAGAACCAAUGUCGUUUAUUUAUUAAAGUACACGUGUUUAUAUUAACUGCUAUGAGCCAUCCAAUGUUCACAAUGUUAGGGGUAUAUAAGUGAACAAAAAGAUAAAAAAAUAAAAUCCUAUAUUUUUCAGAGUUUAUAUUCUUUUGUAGGAGAUAGAUAUUAAACCAUAAAUGUGAUAAAUUCUAUUGACAUGACAAGGACCCUGGAUACGGAGAAACAAUAAUAGAGGGAAGCAAGGAGGAUUGCGAGAGUUGUUAGAAAGAAUCACUUCAUCAUCUCCCUCAUCCGUCCUAAGGACAAGCCUCUUUGAGAAGUUGACAUGUUGAAAUAUAUAAUGAGAGCACUUGAAAAGUUGCAGCCAAGGAGAGAGAGGAGAAUGUGGUUACCUUCAUUGAAACAGAUCUCUCAGCAUUUUAAAUAAUUCAUUAUUUUUUGCUCUACGAACAGUGAUGUUUUUCAACAAUAUCAACUACUAAUUAAGAAGAAUCUUAUAAAACAAAAAUAUCAAAUAUUUUAUUACAAUGAUAAGGUGAAUAUAUUGAUCCUCCUGGAAGAAUCAUUCACUGGCGGUAGAACUGAGUCCAAUUUUAAAUUCUACAGGGGAGCUGGUUUCGGUUUAAAUUAAUGAAGAAUUUGAAAUAGACUUUUCCAAGGAUGGAAAGCAUUGCUCUGGAAGAUAAUGAAUCUCAGACAUGGAAGACAUCCUGGCUAGGCUACAUAAUCAUUGGGCAGAGACUUUUGUCAUGAGGAUUCAAACCAUCAACUACAUGGACCCUAGGAGUAUACGAUCCUAUAACAAGGAUUGUUACUUGCAGAAUUUGAAGAUAAUAUUCUGACUUGAUUUUGAAUCCCCAGGCUUCUGUGUCUUCAUCUUCUGCUCAUAUUAUCAUUUUAUUCUAUAUGAUCUAUUUCCUGGGGUUACAUACACAUUUUUAUUAAAAAGAUUAAAAAAACAAUAAUCAAAUCCAACAUCUUUUGAAUCUUGGAACAUGUACUCAGCAUAUUUUCCAAAACCUUAAGGGCUUUAUUAUAUCAGAUUUUGGAAGACAAUUUGUGAGAUGGGAAAGUAAUUAUGGGUGUACCUGUGUAUUUCUUCUUCCACUUAUACAAGAGCCUCAAGGCCUUCUUUAGGAUGUUAAGUAGUUUGAAGUAAGGUGAAAGACAGAUAGGGAAUGGCAUCUUUUUAUCCACAGGGAUAUCUUUGUCAUAAAGUUUCACAGACUUUGGAAAGUCAAGGUUAAAGAUAAUUUACUUAACAUUAAGAAAUGUAGCUUUCAUUGUCUUGAGUUUUCAUUCGUAUUAUUAUUGUACAAGUGGGACAGAUAGCUCUCUGACAAUUAUGCAAACAAAAUGUAUGUGUUUAUGAGUGAGUUACUGAGAAGACUCUAAACAUUUGUUUAAUGAGGUAAACAUUGCUAUCAAAC
Molecule: long non-coding RNA, 1545 nt
Filed under: Equus asinus (donkey)
Lineage: Eukaryota; Metazoa; Chordata; Mammalia; Perissodactyla; Equidae
Description: lncRNA (ENSEASG00005026308.1)
Source: RNAcentral